This 483-nucleotide ribosomal RNA is filed under the name uncultured bacterium. Its description in RNAcentral is "partial 16S ribosomal RNA". It matches the Rfam family "Bacterial small subunit ribosomal RNA", at positions 30 to 507 of the family's 1533-position model. The record is from RNAcentral.
UUGAACGCUGGCGGCAGGCCUAACACAUGCAAGUCGAGCGGAUGAAGGGAGCUUGCUCCUGGAUUCAGCGGCGGACGGGUGAGUAAUGCCUAGGAAUCUGCCUGGUAGUGGGGGAUAACGUCCGGAAACGGGCGCUAAUACCGCAUACGUCCUGAGGGAGAAAGUGGGGGAUCUUCGGACCUCACGCUAUCAGAUGUGCCUAGGUCGGAUUAGCUAGUUGGUGGGGUAAAGGCCUACCAAGGCGACGAUCCGUAACUGGUCUGAGAGGAUGAUCAGUCACACUGGAACUGAGACACGGUCCAGACUCCUACGGGAGGCAGCAGUGGGGAAUAUUGGACAAUGGGCGAAAGCCUGAUCCAGCCAUGCCGCGUGUGUGAAGAAGGUCUUCGGAUUGUAAAGCACUUUAAGUUGGGAGGAAGGGCAGUAAGUUAAUACCUUGCUGUUUUGACGUUACCAACAGAAUAAGCACCGGCUAACUUCGUG